CUAAAUCUAAACCAAAGCAAGGACUCAGAUUCUAAGCCUUAAACCAUGUGGGUCAAUCACUUGACCAAAUUUUCAUUUUUGAAAUUGAUCCCUAACUUGUUGCUUUCUUUGCUCUCCGAAUGCUUCGCUUCCUCUGCAGUUUCGCGGUUCCGAUCUAUAGCUUUGGAGCUGAAGUUUGUGAUAUUGUUUGUUGGUAGGGGAUACUGCCAGUGAGUAAAUUGUUGAAUAAUUCUGAUGCAUGGGUGACUAUACUUUUCAAGAAACUUGCCAUGUGGUGGCCAUGGGUGAGGCAAAUUUUUGCUAUUGGAUAUGCCACCUUCAUGCUUUUAAUGAGGCUGUUUUACUUGGUCAUUUCAUUUCAUUGGCAAGAUAAACUCCUGACUAGCAAGAUUGUAGCAGAAGUUGCUAUUCGCAAGAGUAUUGAUACUAAUGCCAUUUCUGUUGUGGAGAAAUUUCAAAAUAUCAAUAUGACCAUGCCAUUGAUGAGACUAUAAAACUAACAAGGAGCGUUUGAAAACUUCAUGGAUUUCAUUAAGCAUGAGUUUUGUUCAAGUCUUUCAACAAGUGGGUGGAUACAGCACUUUCAACUUAGUUUAAUAUGUAAAGGUAAAGCAUGAUUUGAUGAUUCAUAAUGAGUAUGUUUACAUAAAUUCUCAGUAAAUGAAAUGAGUUUAUGGGUGACAAAAAUGUUUUAGAAAUGGUUUUCAAAUCUGUGAUAUGGAUGUAAAUACUUUAUUAUUUAGUUGUUUUCAAGAAGAAAGGGCAAAUAUUUUUAUGUUUGAAGCCCACUCACUUACUUUGGCCGUUGGGCUAGCGUGGGUAUGAGAUAUCAUUUAUGUUAAUGUAUGAAUGAUAUGAUGAACAUGCUUGAUAUGUUGAUAUAUGUAAUGUAUAUAAUGUAGAUUCCAUAUAUUAUAUAAGAUGAUUGAAUAAAUAUGAUGAAAGUCAUGAGAUUGCCUACAUGAUGUUAAAUUCCAUAUGCCGUAUGAGAUGGCUAGGCUAAUAUAAUGAAUGCUAUGAUGUUGUGUAUAUGAUACAUAUUCCAUAUACUAAUUAAAAUGAGUAGAAUUGUAUGAUAAAUGAUCUAUGCCAGUAUGUGAGGCAUUUUCCACACACUAAAAGAUACAAGUAUGAGUGUUUGAUUGAGUAAAGUAUAAUUCCACUUUUGGGAUAAAGUGGUGACUUCACUCCCAUGAUGCAUCAUAAAUGCCCCAGGUGCAAUGAAGUUUGUAGAUUGUUAGACUAAGGAGCUAUAGGGAUUGUACAUUUUCACUCAAGAUUGAUGGAGGUCGUACCAUCACACUUCAUGAUUUUAAUGAUGUUUGAAUGAUGAUAAUUGAAAUGUUAUUAAGGAAGUUUACUUGUUAA
Molecule: RNA transcript, 1368 nt
Organism: Theobroma umbraticum
Lineage: Eukaryota; Viridiplantae; Streptophyta; Magnoliopsida; Malvales; Malvaceae
Source: RefSeq, a predicted model, not a curated record